RNAcentral lists this transfer RNA (70 nucleotides) under Dellaglioa algida. RNAcentral describes it as "Lactobacillus algidus tRNA-His". It matches the Rfam family "tRNA". Rfam says of the family: Transfer RNA (tRNA) molecules are approximately 80 nucleotides in length. Their secondary structure includes four short double-helical elements and three loops (D, anti-codon, and T loops). Further hydrogen bonds mediate the characteristic L-shaped molecular structure. tRNAs have two regions of fundamental functional importance: the anti-codon, which is responsible for specific mRNA codon recognition, and the 3' end, to which the tRNAs corresponding amino acid is attached (by aminoacyl-tRNA synthetases). tRNAs cope with the degeneracy of the genetic code in two manners: having more than one tRNA (with a specific anti-codon) for a particular amino acid; and 'wobble' base-pairing, i.e. permitting non-standard base-pairing at the 3rd anti-codon position. Lineage: Bacteria; Bacillati; Bacillota; Bacilli; Lactobacillales; Lactobacillaceae. The record is from RNAcentral.
ACGAGGAUAGCUUAAUGGAAAAGCACUCAACAUGAUUGAGGGAAUGUUGGUUCGAAUCCAACACUUUGCA